Molecule: ribosomal RNA, 409 nt
Filed under: Potamocarcinus sp. LMT-2014
Lineage: Eukaryota; Metazoa; Arthropoda; Malacostraca; Decapoda; Pseudothelphusidae
Description: partial 16S large subunit ribosomal RNA
Rfam family: Bacterial large subunit ribosomal RNA
Source: RNAcentral
UAUAAUUUAAUGGCCGCGGUAUUAAUGACCGUGCAAAGGUAGCAUAAUCAUUAGUCUUUUAAUUGAAGGCUUGUAUGAAUGGUUGGACAAAAGGAAAACUGUCUUCUUUAAUAUAAAUUGAAUUUAACUUUUAAGUGAAAAGGCUUAAAUAUUUCAGAGGGACGAUAAGACCCUAUAAAGCAUUGUGUUGGGGUAACAAAAGUAUAAUUAGUAACUGUUUAGUUUAUAUACAGGUAUAUUUGAAGUGAUCCUUAUUUAAAGAUUUUAAGAUUAAGUUACUUUAGGGAUAACAGCGUAAUUUUUUUAGAGAGUUCCUAUCGAAAAAAGAGUUUGCGACCUCGAUGUUGAAUUAAAAUUUCUAUAUAGUGGAGCUAUUAUAUAAGGAGGUCUGUUCGACCUUUAAUUUUUU